GUGGAGCUGGAAAGGUGGAGGCGGAAGUGACUGAUCAAUUCAGGGGCGUGGGGUUCGUUUAGGUUUUGCCCUGUGUAUGACCUCGUUUGGAGCCAUGAAACCAGGUGGCUUUUCUACAAUAUAAAGAUGGAAAUGGGAAGAAGAUGUUCAUUGCAAAUUAAGGAAGCUCUUCCACGAGUUCACGAAUGGAAAUAACAUCAAGAGUUUUUCAUCUUCUUAGUGUGCAAGGUUAUUUUAGGGCAAUGAUGGAAAGCACCAAGUGGAGUCUGGAGCUAGACUGAUCUGUGUUCAAUCCUGUCUUGGUUACUCAUUGGGGGGCCUCGACUUUCAUGUCUCUGUAAUGUCCCUGACAGUAUCUGCCUCACAGGGUUGCUGUGAGAGUCAAGCGAGAUAAAUAUCAAGGAGUGCAAUUCCUGGAUUUAUGAUGUCUGAGGAAUAGUCUUAGUGGAUUAUCCCAAACUUGACACAUUUUUUGCAAAAUGCUAUACAAAAAGAAGAUACAUGCGAUUAUGACAAGAUUCUCCACUUGGUGUGACCAGUCUCAUACAACCCAAGGCUGUGUGUCCAAAGGCAACUGUACUGAAUACCGGAAAGCAUGUAUUUGUUUGCUAAAUUGCUCUCUUUCCACCAGUGAUAUCAAUUCUGAAAUACUUUUGAGAUCUUGACAAUAAUCAAAAGGUAGCCAGGUGCAUCGG
Molecule: long non-coding RNA, 695 nt
Filed under: Homo sapiens (human)
Lineage: Eukaryota; Metazoa; Chordata; Mammalia; Primates; Hominidae
Description: ZRANB2 divergent transcript
Source: RNAcentral